UUAAGUUAUUAAGGGCGCACGGUGGAUGCCUUGGCACUAGAAGCCGAUGAAGGACGUUACUAACGACGAUAUGCUUUGGGGAGCUGUAAGUAAGCUUUGAUCCAGAGAUUUCCGAAUGGGGAAACCCAGCAUGAGUUAUGUCAUGUUAUCGAUAUGUGAAUACAUAGCAUAUCAGAAGGCACACCCGGAGAACUGAAACAUCUUAGUACCCGGAGGAAGAGAAAGAAAAUUCGAUUCCCUUAGUAGCGGCGAGCGAAACGGGAAGAGCCCAAACCAACAAGCUUGCUUGUUGGGGUUGUAGGACACUCUAUACGGAGUUACAAAGGACGACAUUAGACGAAUCAUCUGGAAAGAUGAAUCAAAGAAGGUAAUAAUCCUGUAGUCGAAAAUGUUGUCUCUCUUGAGUGGAUCCUGAGUACGACGGAGCACGUGAAAUUCCGUCGGAAUCUGGGAGGACCAUCUCCUAAGGCUAAAUACUCUCUAGUGACCGAUAGUGAACCAGUACCGUGAGGGAAAGGUGAAAAGCACCCCGGAAGGGGAGUGAAAUAGAACCUGAAACCGUGUGCUUACAAGUAGUCAGAGCCCGUUAAUGGGUGAUGGCGUGCCUUUUGUAGAAUGAACCGGCGAGUUACGAUUUGAUGCAAGGUUAAGCAGUAAAUGUGGAGCCGUAGCGAAAGCGAGUCUGAAUAGGGCGUUUAGUAUUUGGUCGUAGACCCGAAACCAGGUGAUCUACCCUUGGUCAGGUUGAAGUUCAGGUAACACUGAAUGGAGGACCGAACCGACUUACGUUGAAAAGUGAGCGGAUGAACUGAGGGUAGCGGAGAAAUUCCAAUCGAACCUGGAGAUAGCUGGUUCUCUCCGAAAUAGCUUUAGGGCUAGCCUCAAGUGAUGAUUAUUGGAGGUAGAGCACUGUUUGGACGAGGGGCCCCUCUCGGGUUACCGAAUUCAGACAAACUCCGAAUGCCAAUUAAUUUAACUUGGGAGUCAGAACAUGGGUGAUAAGGUCCGUGUUCGAAAGGGAAACAGCCCAGACCACCAGCUAAGGUCCCAAAAUAUAUGUUAAGUGGAAAAGGAUGUGGCGUUGCCCAGACAACUAGGAUGUUGGCUUAGAAGCAGCCAUCAUUUAAAGAGUGCGUAAUAGCUCACUAGUCGAGUGACACUGCGCCGAAAAUGUACCGGGGCUAAACAUAUUACCGAAGCUGUGGAUUGUCCUUUGGACAAUGGUAGGAGAGCGUUCUAAGGGCGUUGAAGCAUGAUCGUAAGGACAUGUGGAGCGCUUAGAAGUGAGAAUGCCGGUGUGAGUAGCGAAAGACGGGUGAGAAUCCCGUCCACCGAUUGACUAAGGUUUCCAGAGGAAGGCUCGUCCGCUCUGGGUUAGUCGGGUCCUAAGCUGAGGCCGACAGGCGUAGGCGAUGGAUAACAGGUUGAUAUUCCUGUACCACCUAUAAUCGUUUUAAUCGAUGGGGGGACGCAGUAGGAUAGGCGAAGCGUGCGAUUGGAUUGCACGUCUAAGCAGUAAGGCUGAGUAUUAGGCAAAUCCGGUACUCGUUAAGGCUGAGCUGUGAUGGGGAGAAGACAUUGUGUCUUCGAGUCGUUGAUUUCACACUGCCGAGAAAAGCCUCUAGAUAGAAAAUAGGUGCCCGUACCGCAAACCGACACAGGUAGUCAAGAUGAGAAUUCUAAGGUGAGCGAGCGAACUCUCGUUAAGGAACUCGGCAAAAUGACCCCGUAACUUCGGGAGAAGGGGUGCUCUUUAGGGUUAACGCCCAGAAGAGCCGCAGUGAAUAGGCCCAAGCGACUGUUUAUCAAAAACACAGGUCUCUGCUAAACCGUAAGGUGAUGUAUAGGGGCUGACGCCUGCCCGGUGCUGGAAGGUUAAGAGGAGUGGUUAGCUUCUGCGAAGCUACGAAUCGAAGCCCCAGUAAACGGCGGCCGUAACUAUAACGGUCCUAAGGUAGCGAAAUUCCUUGUCGGGUAAGUUCCGACCCGCACGAAAGGCGUAACGAUUUGGGCACUGUCUCAACGAGAGACUCGGUGAAAUCAUAGUACCUGUGAAGAUGCAGGUUACCCGCGACAGGACGGAAAGACCCCGUGGAGCUUUACUGUAGCCUGAUAUUGAAAUUCGGCACAGCUUGUACAGGAUAGGUAGGAGCCUUUGAAACGUGAGCGCUAGCUUACGUGGAGGCGCUGGUGGGAUACUACCCUAGCUGUGUUGGCUUUCUAACCCGCACCACUUAUCGUGGUGGGAGACAGUGUCAGGCGGGCAGUUUGACUGGGGCGGUCGCCUCCUAAAAGGUAACGGAGGCGCUCAAAGGUUCCCUCAGAAUGGUUGGAAAUCAUUCAUAGAGUGUAAAGGCAUAAGGGAGCUUGACUGCGAGACCUACAAGUCGAGCAGGGUCGAAAGACGGACUUAGUGAUCCGGUGGUUCCGCAUGGAAGGGCCAUCGCUCAACGGAUAAAAGCUACCCCGGGGAUAACAGGCUUAUCUCCCCCAAGAGUUCACAUCGACGGGGAGGUUUGGCACCUCGAUGUCGGCUCAUCGCAUCCUGGGGCUGUAGUCGGUCCCAAGGGUUGGGCUGUUCGCCCAUUAAAGCGGUACGCGAGCUGGGUUCAGAACGUCGUGAGACAGUUCGGUCCCUAUCCGUCGUGGGCGUAGGAAAUUUGAGAGGAGCUGUCCUUAGUACGAGAGGACCGGGAUGGACAUACCUCUGGUGUACCAGUUGUCGUGCCAACGGCAUAGCUGGGUAGCUAUGUGUGGACGGGAUAAGUGCUGAAAGCAUCUAAGCAUGAAGCCCCCCUCAAGAUGAGAUUUCCCAACUUCGGUUAUAAGAUCCCUCAAAGAUGAUGAGGUUAAUAGGUUCGA
Molecule: ribosomal RNA, 2862 nt
Filed under: Staphylococcus aureus
Lineage: Bacteria; Bacillati; Bacillota; Bacilli; Caryophanales; Staphylococcaceae
Also listed under: 1 other name
Description: bacterial LSU rRNA
Rfam family: Bacterial large subunit ribosomal RNA
Source: RNAcentral